RNAcentral lists this ribosomal RNA (252 nucleotides) under uncultured bacterium. RNAcentral's name for it is "partial 16S ribosomal RNA". It matches the Rfam family "Bacterial small subunit ribosomal RNA", at positions 524 to 776 of the family's 1533-position model. The record is from RNAcentral.
UACGUAGGUGACCAGCGUUGUCCGGAUUUACUGGGCGUAAAGAGCGCGCAGGCGGUCGUUCAAGUCGAGUGUGAAAGCCCCCGGCUCAACUGGGGAGGGUCACUUGAUACUGAUCGACUCGAAGGCAGGAGAGGGAAGCGGAAUUCCCGGUGUAGUGGUGAAAUGCGUAGAUAUCGGGAGGAACACCAGUGGCGAAGGCGGCUUCCUGGCCUGUUCUGACGCUGAGGAGCGAAAGCGUGGGGAGCGAACAGG